RNAcentral lists this ribosomal RNA (346 nucleotides) under uncultured Gammaproteobacteria bacterium. Its description in RNAcentral is "bacterial SSU rRNA". It matches the Rfam family "Bacterial small subunit ribosomal RNA", at positions 383 to 721 of the family's 1533-position model. Lineage: Bacteria; Pseudomonadati; Pseudomonadota; Gammaproteobacteria. The record is from RNAcentral.
CUGAUCCAGCCAUGCCGCGUGUGUGAAGAAGGCCUUCGGGUUGUAAAGCACUUUCAGUUGGGAGGAAGGGCWUUAAAUUAAUACCUUGCUGUUUUGACGUUACCGACAGAAUAAGCACCGGCUAACUCCGUGCCAGCAGCCGCGGUAAUACGGAGGGUGCAAGCGUUAAUCGGAAUUACUGGGCGUAAAGCGCGCGCAGGCGGUUCGUUAAGUCGGAUGUGAAAUCCCCGGGCUCAACCUGGGAACUGCAUUCGAAACUGCCGAGCUAGAGUAUGGUAGAGGGGGGUGGAAUUUCCGGUGUAGCGGUGAAAUGCGUAGAUAUMCGGAGGAACACCGGUGGCGAAGG